UCCAUGAUGGGAACAACCUCCGCACUCCGGCGCUCCAAUGAACAACAGUUCUUCGCUUGACUUUAUUUAGAAUAGUGGUCGAUCCCUCGAGAGUUACAUUUGUCACUUAAUGUUAUGUUCACGCGGUGAUAUUCUAUCCAAGAGUACUACCCUACACAUAGUCUAUGUCUAGGGAGCAUACUUGACAGGAGAUAGACCAGGAAAUUAAGCAGCGUAGAGGACAAAGAAAUUGUUGAAGUUCUUGUUUUUUUUAUCAAGUACCUACAUANUUAAUGUUAAGAAAGAANUUUUGACAGGAAGGUUGGCUAGAGAUUUCUUGUAAAAACACUAGCUCUGUUCAGUUGAGAAUGUGAAUACUGGAACUUUUUUUUUAUUGUAUGGAUUUUUCUCAUUACACACAUAAGGGGGAGCCGUAUGAGAUGAAAAUCUCACUUGGUGGAGAGUAGAAAAUUAGAGUUUUCAUGAAGUAUUGUAUUGGGUCAGCAUCUCAAACCCAGUCUCUCAUUAAUAUUAUCAAAUUUAUUAAUAUUCUUAAAUAAUUCCAUAAUAAAUUAUUUAUUGAUGGUAAAAAUCUUAUAUUAUUCAAUAAAGAAAAUUUGAGAUAAAUUUUUUUCUAUAAUUAAAAUUAAUUUUAAUAAUAAAAUUUGAAUGAAUGAUGUAAUUAAUUAGCAAAAAAAUUAAAAGGGUAAUAAAAUAUCAAUAAUUGAUGGUGACGGUUAGAAGUG
This 725-nucleotide long non-coding RNA is filed under the name Vigna radiata. RNAcentral's name for it is "long non-coding RNA (VRAD_LNC003055)". Lineage: Eukaryota; Viridiplantae; Streptophyta; Magnoliopsida; Fabales; Fabaceae. The record is from RNAcentral.